Molecule: ribosomal RNA, 458 nt
Filed under: uncultured bacterium
Lineage: Bacteria
Description: partial 16S ribosomal RNA
Rfam family: Bacterial small subunit ribosomal RNA
Source: RNAcentral
CCUACGGGCGGCAGCAGUGAGGAAUAUUGGUCAAUGGGCGCGAGCCUGAACCAGCCAAGUAGCGUGAAGGAUGACUGCCCUACGGGUUGUAAACUUCUUUUAUCCAGGGAUAAAGUGAGGCACGUGUGCCUUUUUGUAUGUACUUUAUGAAUAAGGAUCGGCUAACUCCGUGCCAGCAGCCGCGGUAAUACGGAGGAUCCGAGCGUUAUCCGGAUUUAUUGGGUUUAAAGGGAGCGUAGAUGGGUUGUUAAGUCAGUUGUGAAAGUUUGCGGCUCAACCGUAAAAUUGCAAUGGAUACUGGAAGUCUUGAGUACAGAUGAGGUAGGCGGAAUUCGUGGUGUAGCGGUGAAAUGCUUAGAUAUCACGAAGAACUCCGAUUGCGAAGGCAGCUUACUAAACUGCCACUGACAUUGAUGCUCGAAAGUGUGUAUAUCAAACAGGAUGAGAUACCCGUAGUC